GUAUGGCUAUCGAACUGAUCCAAACAAUGCCCAAGUCCUUGCUGCCGGCGCCGCCAGAUCCCCCCUCGUUGCCAGCGCCGUGGAGACCUGCCCAUCUCGCUCGCCAUGGCAACUCCCGCCGGCCUAUCCUCCUCGCUGGCGGCGCUGCCUCAUUCCCCCUCCUGCCGCCUCGAGUGCAGAGACCUGCCCAUCUCGCUAGCACUGGCGCCACCAACUAGCCCAUCCUCCUCGCCGCUGGAGUUGCCCCAUCCAUCUCCAUGGUGAGCUGCCCCGUCCCCCUCCUGCUGCCGGGAGUGCAGGAUCGACGCUACAUCGGAGAGGAACGGCCACACGUUUCCACCGCGGUGCCACCUCCAUAUUCCAGCUGGAAUUGACAAGGUGGAUCGGUGCCAGUCAUCCAUAUUUAGCCUGUUUGGCUUAGUUAAUACUUUUGGCUGGCUCGAGAUUUCUUUGUCCCAAUUUAUAGGUUGUAAUGGUGUACGAGAUCAGAACCUUGGUCGUGGACUACUGAUGGUGCAAUGUCCGACUUCGUUAUGCUGGAUUGAACAUGUUUUCUUAAGACAACUCUGGCUGAAUCUAAGUAGAAGAUGGUUCGUCAACAAUGUUAGCCAUGGAGUCUGUAGUCCACCAAUCUUGUGAUUCGUAUCUCAUGAUCUAGUGACAUUGCCGUUGAGCUUUUGAGUGGAAUCUGUAUAUAGUAGAAAUUCUGGCUUUGCAUUGUUGAGAUAUGUUGUUCUGUCUCUCCUUGGCAUGGCGGCAAAUGCCACACUUGAUACCUCAUAUGGCUGCUAUGUAAGGCUUAUGUUUGGUUUUCUUUAAUGAGAUGGUUAUAUUGAUCACA
Molecule: long non-coding RNA, 841 nt
Organism: Panicum hallii
Lineage: Eukaryota; Viridiplantae; Streptophyta; Magnoliopsida; Poales; Poaceae
Exons: 2
Source: RefSeq, a predicted model, not a curated record